AAAAUUAGUAUUUUGUAUAAUUCAGCUACAAUAAUCUUAUUCUUUUAGUAAAUUAAGUUUACAUUUUAAUAUAGUUCCAGAGUAAUAUAUGUUAGUAUUUAACUAUGAUAGUUAUACAUAUUGUAUCACUAUAUAGUUGAUAUAUAUAUAUAUUUAGAUAAGUUUGAAACCCGUGUAUGGCGCAAGACAAAUAUCAAAUAAUUGUAUGAACGUAUAUAGACAAAAAAAAAAAACUCAACACGUUAAAAAAUAUUCAACCUAUUAUUUUAAAACCCAAUAUUACAAAAAGGAUAAUUCAAAAAAUAUAUUUAAAAAGAUGAGAGUGGGAAGAAAAUAUAAGAAAAAACAAAACAAAAAACAGUAGAAUCUCUGUUCAACAAAAUUACAAAACUAAUUUGACCUCAAGAAAUAAUAUAUGCAGUGGUAACAACUUCACUGGCGUAAACCCCUUGGGUUGCCUCACCAUCCAUAUGUAUAUUUGUGGAUAUACACACAUAGAUACGGUAUUUUGC
Molecule: long non-coding RNA, 512 nt
Filed under: Capsella rubella
Lineage: Eukaryota; Viridiplantae; Streptophyta; Magnoliopsida; Brassicales; Brassicaceae
Description: long non-coding RNA (CRUB_LNC001355)
Source: RNAcentral